ACCUGGGUGGCUCAGUCGGUUGAGUGUCAGACUCUUGGUUUUCUCUCAGGUCAUGAUCUCAGGGUCGUGGGAUCAAGUCCCACACCAGGCU
This 91-nucleotide transfer RNA is filed under the name Ailuropoda melanoleuca (giant panda). It matches the Rfam family "tRNA". From Rfam's summary of the family: Transfer RNA (tRNA) molecules are approximately 80 nucleotides in length. Their secondary structure includes four short double-helical elements and three loops (D, anti-codon, and T loops). Further hydrogen bonds mediate the characteristic L-shaped molecular structure. tRNAs have two regions of fundamental functional importance: the anti-codon, which is responsible for specific mRNA codon recognition, and the 3' end, to which the tRNAs corresponding amino acid is attached (by aminoacyl-tRNA synthetases). tRNAs cope with the degeneracy of the genetic code in two manners: having more than one tRNA (with a specific anti-codon) for a particular amino acid; and 'wobble' base-pairing, i.e. permitting non-standard base-pairing at the 3rd anti-codon position. Lineage: Eukaryota; Metazoa; Chordata; Mammalia; Carnivora; Ursidae. The record is from Rfam by way of RNAcentral.